Molecule: signal recognition particle RNA, 314 nt
Filed under: Ipomoea nil (Japanese morning glory)
Lineage: Eukaryota; Viridiplantae; Streptophyta; Magnoliopsida; Solanales; Convolvulaceae
Description: Plant signal recognition particle RNA
Rfam family: Plant signal recognition particle RNA
Source: Rfam by way of RNAcentral
GCCGAGCUCAGUAGCAUGAGCUUGUAACCCAUGCGGGGGCUUUGGGUAGAUGGAACGUUGGGCCACACCAUUAGGUAGGGCGUGGGUGGCAUUCUUCUGGUCUGCCCAAUCCAAGUGGGGACUUGGCCAUGGUACCUCUGCGAAGGCCGAGGUGUCUUGGCUAUUGAAUUAGAGGGUAAUGCGUGAGGCUGGUUUCACAGAGCAGCGAAAAUCUCCAACUCUCUACGCUGGAUGGAUAGCGGAUCGGUGCGACCCAAGCUCAUCCCAAGCUCAUUAAGUGCCUUGUGGUUGGCUCCAACCUAACCAUCACCCUU